UCCUGACCUGACUUUCCUGGAUGGUGUCCUAUGGCAGCUCAUGGUUGUGGGUAAGAUCUCUGGACCAAGCUCUCUCCUGUCUGCAGAAAAGUGCCAUUUCCCACUAUUCUUAGGGACAUAAACCUAGUACAUGGAGGUUGCAACGCAUGAUAUGUGGACCAUCUCAUGAAGAGGAAGAACACCACAGACUUACAGGCUGGGACCUGCAAUGCUGUGCCUCAUGCACACUUCUAGACAGAGGAACAGAGCUGGCUCUUACCAGUGUCAGCUGAGGAGUCCCAGGAACUGGCUUUGAAGAUGCAUCGUAUGUCCAUGGCCUGGUCACCUGUGAGUGAUAGGAAUAACCAAGAAGCACAGCUACCAAGUGCAGGGUCGUGUUUGUAAGGAGCUGACACACAAGAACAAUUGAUGUGUGAAAAGAACCAGAAGGAGAAGAGGAGGAAGCCGCCGGAACCACAGUUUCUAAGCCUGUCUACACCUGGAGUAGACUACUGACAUCCUGCCAUGCCCAGCCUGCUCUUGACAUGUCCCCUGUAGUCUCCUCACACAGACACACCAGACAAACCUCCUGGGAGCUAUAUUUUUGGCUCACACGUUAUUUAAAAUGUGGUAACAAAUAAGAUGCUAUGCUGUCAAGGAUAAAUUUAUUCAAAGUGAAAUAACAACUCCAUUUUAAAGUAGUCCUAUCUCUAGAGAUAUCUCUUCAAAAUUUGAGAUCUGAGCCUUCAGCUCUUCAUGCCACCAUGCCUGCUGCCUUCCACCUGCCACCACAAUUUCCUGUCAUAGUGUACUCUUAUCCCUCUUGAACCAUAAGCACAAAUAAACUCUUUCUUA
Long non-coding RNA from Onychomys torridus (southern grasshopper mouse), 834 nucleotides. RefSeq lists it as uncharacterized. Lineage: Eukaryota; Metazoa; Chordata; Mammalia; Rodentia; Cricetidae. The transcript has 6 exons. The record is from RefSeq and is a predicted model, not a curated record.